Molecule: unclassified non-coding RNA, 215 nt
Filed under: uncultured Agaricomycetes
Lineage: Eukaryota; Fungi; Basidiomycota; Agaricomycetes
Description: sequence contains ITS2
Source: RNAcentral
AACUCUCAAACCGCAUCUUUAUUGAUGUCGGGCUUGGAUUUGGACGUUGCUGGACGCGAGUUCGGCUCGUCUCGAAUGUAUUAGCUGUAGAUUUCGAUUUCAGUUAAACCGUGUGAUAAUACAUCAACGCGGGCAGCCGUCAAGGCGCUGAAUCGUUAGUUCGAAGGCUUCUAAUCGUCCUUUCGAGGACCACCUUUACUGGUGUUUCAUUUCAC